Molecule: ribosomal RNA, 1709 nt
Filed under: Pseudomonas marincola
Lineage: Bacteria; Pseudomonadati; Pseudomonadota; Gammaproteobacteria; Pseudomonadales; Pseudomonadaceae
Description: bacterial LSU rRNA
Rfam family: Bacterial large subunit ribosomal RNA
Source: RNAcentral
AUAUGGUCAAGUGAAGAAGCGCAUACGGUGGAUGCCUUGGCAGUCAGAGGCGAUGAAAGACGUGAUAGCCUGCGAAAAGCUUCGGGGAGGUGGCAAAUAACCUUUGAUCCGGAGAUGUCUGAAUGGGGGAACCCACCUAACAUAAGUUAGGUAUCUUGCACUGAAUACAUAGGUGUAAGAGGCGAACCAGGGGAACUGAAACAUCUAAGUACCCUGAGGAAUAGAAAUCAACCGAGAUUCCCUUAGUAGUGGCGAGCGAACGGGGACUAGCCCUUAAGCUUCUUUGAUUUUAGCGGAACGCUCUGGAAAGUGCGGCCAUAGUGGGUGAUAGCCCUGUACGCGAAAGGAUCUUAGAAGUGAAAUCGAGUAGGACGGAGCACGAGAAACUUUGUCUGAAUAUGGGGGGACCAUCCUCCAAGGCUAAAUACUACUGACUGACCGAUAGUGAACUAGUACCGUGAGGGAAAGGCGAAAAGAACCCCGGAGAGGGGAGUGAAAUAGAUCCUGAAACCGUAUGCGUACAAGCAGUGGGAGCAGACUUUGUUCUGUGACUGCGUACCUUUUGUAUAAUGGGUCAGCGACUUAUUUUCAGUGGCAAGCUUAACCGAAUAGGGGAGGCGUAGCGAAAGCGAGUCUUAAUAGGGCGUUUAGUCGCUGGGAAUAGACCCGAAACCGGGCGAUCUAUCCAUGGGCAGGUUGAAGGUUAGGUAACACUGACUGGAGGACCGAACCGACUACCGUUGAAAAGUUAGCGGAUGACCUGUGGAUCGGAGUGAAAGGCUAAUCAAGCUCGGAGAUAGCUGGUUCUCCUCGAAAGCUAUUUAGGUAGCGCCUCGUGUAUCACUGCUGGGGGUAGAGCACUGUUUCGGCUAGGGGGUCAUCCCGACUUACCAAACCGAUGCAAACUCCGAAUACCAGCAAGUGUCAGCACGGGAGACACACGGCGGGUGCUAACGUCCGUCGUGAAAAGGGAAACAACCCAGACCGUCAGCUAAGGUCCCAAAGUUAUGGUUAAGUGGGAAACGAUGUGGGAAGGCUUAGACAGCUAGGAGGUUGGCUUAGAAGCAGCCACCCUUUAAAGAAAGCGUAAUAGCUCACUAGUCGAGUCGGCCUGCGCGGAAGAUGUAACGGGGCUCAAACCAUACACCGAAGCUACGGGUUCAUCUUAGGAUGAGCGGUAGAGGAGCGUUCUGUAAGCCUGUGAAGGUGAGUUGAGAAGCUUGCUGGAGGUAUCAGAAGUGCGAAUGCUGACAUGAGUAACGACAAUGCGAGUGAAAAACUCGCACGCCGAAAGACCAAGGUUUCCUGCGCAACGUUAAUCGACGCAGGGUGAGUCGGCCCCUAAGGUGAGGCAGAAAUGCGUAAUCGAUGGGAAACGGGUUAAUAUUCCCGUACUUCUAAUUACUGCGAUGGAGGGACGGAGAAGGCUAGGCCAGCACGGCGUUGGUUGUCCGUGUUUAAGGUAGUAGGCUGAGAUCUUAGGUAAAUCCGGGAUCUUAAGGCCGAGAACUGAUGACGAGUUGUCUUUUAGACGACGAAGUGGUUGAUGCCAUGCUUCCAGGAAAAGCUUCUAAGCUUCAGGUAAUUAGGAACCGUACCCCAAACCGACACAGGUGGUUAGGUAGAGAAUACCAAGGCGCUUGAGAGAACUCGGGUGAAGGAACUAGGCAAAAUGGCACCGUAACUUCGGGAGAAGGUGCGCCGGUGAG